RNAcentral lists this ribosomal RNA (994 nucleotides) under Aureobasidium sp. Its description in RNAcentral is "partial large subunit ribosomal RNA". It matches the Rfam family "Eukaryotic large subunit ribosomal RNA", at positions 76 to 1093 of the family's 3401-position model. The record is from RNAcentral. Lineage: Eukaryota; Fungi; Ascomycota; Dothideomycetes; Dothideales; Saccotheciaceae.
UGCCCUAGUAACGGCGAGUGAAGCGGCAACAGCUCAAAUUUGAAAGCUGGCCUUCUGGUUCGCAUUGUAAUUUGUACAGGAUGAUUUGGGGAAGCCGCCUGUCUAAGUUCCUUGGAACAGGACGUCAUAGAGGGUGAGAAUCCCGUAUGUGACAGGAAAUGGCACCCUAUGUAAAUCUCCUUCGACGAGUCAAGUUGUUUGGGAAUGCAGCUCUAAAUGGGAGGUAAAUUUCUUCUAAAGCUAAAUAUUGGCGAGAGACCGAUAGCGCACAAGUAAGUGAUCGAAAGAUGAAAAGCACUUUGGAAAGAAAGUUAAAAAGCACGUGAAAUUGUUGAAAGGGAAGCGCUUGCAAUCAGACUUGUUUAAACUGUUCGGCCGGUCUUCUGACCGGUUUACUCAGUUUGGACAGGCCAGCAUCAGUUUCGGCGGCCGGAUAAAGGCUCUGGGAAUGUGGCCUCCACUUCGGUGGAGGUGUUAUAGCCCAGGGUGUAAUACGGCCAGCCGGGACUGAGGUCCGCGCUUCGGCUAGGAUGCUGGCGUAAUGGUUGUAAGCGACCCGUCUUGAAACACGGACCAAGGAGUCUAACAUCUAUGCGAGUGUUCGGGUGUCAAACCCCUGCGCGUAAUGAAAGUGAACGGAGGUGGGAACCCGCAAGGGUGCACCAUCGACCGAUCCUGAUGUCUUCGGAUGGAUUUGAGUAAGAGCAUAGCUGUUGGGACCCGAAAGAUGGUGAACUAUGCCUGAAUAGGGUGAAGCCAGAGGAAACUCUGGUGGAGGCUCGCAGCGGUUCUGACGUGCAAAUCGAUCGUCAAAUUUGGGUAUAGGGGCGAAAGACUAAUCGAACCAUUAGUAGCUGGUUCCUGCCGAAGUUUCCCUCAGGAUAGCAGUAACGUUUUCAGUUUUAUGAGGUAAAGCGAAAGAUUAGAGGCCUUGGGGUUGAAACAACCUUAACCUAUUUCAAACUUUAAAUAUGUAAGAAGUCCUUGUUACUUA